This 498-nucleotide ribosomal RNA is filed under the name uncultured bacterium. RNAcentral's name for it is "partial 16S ribosomal RNA". It matches the Rfam family "Bacterial small subunit ribosomal RNA", at positions 29 to 523 of the family's 1533-position model. The record is from RNAcentral.
AACGAACGCUGGCGGCAUGCUUUACACAUGCAAGUCGAACGGUAACAGGCCGCAAGGUGCUGACGAGUGGCGAACGGGUGAGUAAUGCAUCGGAACGUGCCCAGUCGUGGGGGAUAACUGCUCGAAAGAGCAGCUAAUACCGCAUACGAUCUAUGGAUGAAAGCGGGGGACCGUAAGGCCUCGCGCGAUUGGAGCGGCCGAUGUCAGAUUAGGUAGUUGGUGGGGUAAAGGCUCACCAAGCCAACGAUCUGUAGCUGGUCUGAGAGGACGACCAGCCACACUGGGACUGAGACACGGCCCAGACUCCUACGGGAGGCAGCAGUGGGGAAUUUUGGACAAUGGGGGCAACCCUGAUCCAGCAAUGCCGCGUGCAGGAAGAAGGCCUUCGGGUUGUAAACUGCUUUUGUACGGAACGAAACGGUCUGGGUUAAUACCCUGGGCUAAUGACGGUACCGUAAGAAUAAGCACCGGCUAACUACGUGCCAGCCGCCGCCGUAA